This 230-nucleotide ribosomal RNA is filed under the name uncultured bacterium. RNAcentral describes it as "partial 16S ribosomal RNA". It matches the Rfam family "Bacterial small subunit ribosomal RNA", at positions 563 to 791 of the family's 1533-position model. The record is from RNAcentral.
AAGCGUGCGCAGGCGGUUUUGUAAGACUGUCGUGAAAUCCCCGGGCUCAACCUGGGAAUGGCGAUGGUGACUGCAAGGCUAGAGUUUGGCGAGAGGGGGGUAGAAUUCCACGUGUAGCAGUGAAAUGCGUAGAUAUGUGGAGGAACACCGAUGGCGAAGGCAGCCCCCUGGGUCAAAACUGACGCUCAUGCACGAAAGCGUGGGGAGCAAACAGGAUUAGAUACCCGUGU